Molecule: non-coding RNA, 1743 nt
Organism: Durio zibethinus
Lineage: Eukaryota; Viridiplantae; Streptophyta; Magnoliopsida; Malvales; Malvaceae
Source: RefSeq, a predicted model, not a curated record
CUUGACGAGGGCAUUCUUGGAAAGAAUCACAGACGGUUUCUGUCUUUAUGAACGUUGGAAGAAACCAAAACGUCGUCAGUUAGCCGUCGAUGGAUCAUCUGUUAAACUUCAACGGAAACUUGUCUCUCUUUCGCUUCUCGAAGAAGACAUGACAGCGAUUUCAAGUUCGUUAUAAGACAAGAAGCUUUUCAAAACACAUUCCAGUUUCAUCAAUCUCCCUGAAAUUGAAGAGACAGAGAAAUCUUUAUAUUUACAGCUGCAUGAACCCAACAAAUGUUCUUAUCUACGUAAGAAAAAUUGUAGCUUUUUUUUUUUUAAUAUUUGGUUCUUUUGGUGGUUGAAGAUAUCAGAGGCAAAGUUUCAGGUUAAGUUUUCAGUUCUCGAAAACCCUAGAAGUUUCUUUCUGUUUGAGGUUUCUCUGUUUAACUCUGCUUUAAGGUAAUGUUGGGUUCCUUUAGUUUGAUUAUGAUUUUUGUUAUGUAGACUUCUUUCUUCUCUGUUUGGUUGCUUAGGAAACCGUAGGAAAACGUGGGAAAUUUUUGUGACUGAGGAAGGGAAUCACAAAACUGAAAUGUGGGUUUUCGAAAAUUUUUUUGAUGUAUGAAAAUGUUUUCUUAUUCUUUAUUCAUUUUAACCGUGCUUGUAGAUGGCUCAAUAACUCAUUUUCUUUUACUCUGUUUUCUUGGGAAACAAACAGAAAGUUCACAAUUUUUUUUUUGUAGGUUUUAAGGUAACGUGGAUUGUGAUACUCGAAGAAUAAAUUUGUGUUAUAAGUAUUAUUUUGCCCUAAGUUAGCAGAAGAAAUUAAACCUGCUUCACCUUCUUCAUGUUUUGACAGUAGUUUUGAUACUAGUACAAGAUCAGCUUCUCUUCUAGUGUAUGCUUUUAUGACUAUAGUUUCUCAAUUUAAAUUGGAAAUGUCCCAUUAGAUUCAAAUUGGUGGAUUGAUGGAUUAUUUGAUGUUGAAAUUUAUCCAUUGAAUCAUCAUUAUCUAUUUAAAAUUUAAUUUUUUGAUCAAUUCCAAAACUCCACUGUAAGUUUUGGCUAAAAUUUUUUCUCAAGAAAAUAGGGAUGAUUUACCAUUGCUGAUAAAAUUUUUUUGUUAAUUUCAGCACUGCAAUAUGCAUACUGUUAUUGAAGCUGUACAUAGGGUUAAGGAAUUGGAGGGUCCUGAACUCUCUCAGAAACUUGACUUCAAUUUGGGUGAUCUUAGAAAUAGGAAGGACCCGGAGGAGUUUUUCUCUAAGACAAAUUAUGUUAACUGGACAUAGUUUUGAUUGUUUGCGGUUUGCUAUGAGUCAUAAUCAUCCACAUUUUAAUUAAAUUUAUGUCAUUGUACUACUACUUCUUGAAUAAUGAAGAAUUUUCUACAGGAUUAGAAGUCAUUGUUUGUCGGGUGCAGUCAACAAUAUCCGAGACUACAUCCAUGUUAUGGAGUAUGGACUUGGCUGAUGGUCAUUUUGCUUAUCUUAGGAAGCUGUUUACCACUGAUAAUACAGGUGAUCAAUUUAUGUUAUUCAAGUUUUUACAUCUCAAUGGACUUGCAUUCAUGUAUAUGUAACAUAUAUGAAGGUUGCCGGUAGUUUCUUUAGGGAAAUUUAUGGGUGCUUUAAUCUCAUUUAUUCUUCUAGGUUGUUGUAUUGCUUACAACUUGGGAACAGGCUGUGAUACAUCUGAGCUUGGUUGUUGCUUUGAUAAUUUGAAACACGAUACGAUGACACAACAUAAAAAUAAUAUAAAUAA